RNAcentral lists this long non-coding RNA (630 nucleotides) under Sorghum bicolor (sorghum). RNAcentral describes it as "long non-coding RNA (SBIC_LNC006675)". Lineage: Eukaryota; Viridiplantae; Streptophyta; Magnoliopsida; Poales; Poaceae. The record is from RNAcentral.
CGGCUUGAUCUGUGGAAAACUCAGGGUUCCCGAGGCAAAAGUGUUUUUCUUUUUCUUUUGUUUUAGCAGAUUUCUAGGUGAACUUUGGAAAUCCAUAGAAAUUCAUAGAAAUUCACGAGGCAAAAGUGUUUUUCUUUUCUUUUUGGAAUCCUUGUGAAAUUCUCUAUGCAGUAGAUCUAUAAUAUGGCAUGGUUUAGUUUGAAGUUUUAGUCGUAAAAAUAGAUUUAUGCAGUUCGGUUUUAACUGCUUGUUAUAUUUGUCUUUUUCAUAACUGAUGUAGUAUAGCUCAAAGAAAUGUGAAAAUAUGGUGACGUGAUUUCCAUAUGACAAUUGAUAACUGGUAAUUGUUUCAUGAAUUUAGGAAUGGUAGAUUAAGAGUUAUAAAAAUAACAAAUGCCCUGUGUUGCUUUGCUCCUAUUCUGAGUAGGUCUGCAUGUUUGUAUUGUUUGGCUCUAUUAAGUUGUGAAUCUUGCCUGGAUGAAAAUAUAUGAGUUGUAGUACUUUUCAUAAGCUUUCCAUAAAGAUAAAUAGUACAAUUUUUGGUUAAGCACAUAUUUAGUUAUAGUGGUUUAAAGUACUGUUACAGUUUCUGUCUAAACCCAGACAGAAUUGCAUUGUUUGUUAUGUGAG